RNA transcript from Poecile atricapillus (Black-capped chickadee), 6091 nucleotides. It is a transcript of the gene named solute carrier family 44 member 1, with no coding region annotated. The transcript has 17 exons. Lineage: Eukaryota; Metazoa; Chordata; Aves; Passeriformes; Paridae. The record is from RefSeq and is a predicted model, not a curated record.
CUUCCCGAGUGGCCUCGGGGGAGGAGGAUGAGGGGGCGCCGCGACGGCGUUUGUGGUGCUGCCGCUCUCAACUGACCGGGCCCCGCGCUCUCCGCCGCUUAGCCGGCGUUUCCCUCCGUGCCUCUCUUCGUGCGCCCCGCACCGCGCCGCCGCCCGGGGCGGGGGAGUCGCGGAGAGUGGAUGCCUAGCGGGCACCGCCGGGGCAGAGACCCGCGGACGCCAUGGGCUGCUGCAGCUCCGCUUCGCAGAGUUCCAAGCGAGAGUGGAAGCCUCUGGAAGACCACAGCUGCACAGAUGUACCAUGGCUGCUCUUAUUCAUUGUCUUCUGCAUAGGAAUGGGGUUUAUCUGUGGCUUUUCAAUAGCUACAGGAGCAGCUGCAAGACUGCUUUCGGGAUAUGACAGUUACGGAAAUAUUUGUGGACAGAAAAAUGUCAAAGUGGAGGGAAUAGUCAACAGUGGUCUGGACCUCACACACAAGAAAUAUGUAUUCUUCUUGGAUCCAUGCAACAUUGAUCUAGUACAUCAGAAGAUUAAGUCCAUUGCCUUGUGUGUAUCAGCUUGCCCAAGGAAAGAACUGAAAACUCUGGCUGAUAUACAGAAAUUUGCAGAAACUAAUGGAUCCACUCUGUGUAGCUAUGAACUACAGCCAUCAGAAUAUACUACAGACCCAAGGGCUGCCAAGUUAUGUCCUAAAUAUCCUGUUCCAGAGAGUGCACCUAUUCCAUUCUUCCAUCGCUGUGCUCCUGUGAACAUUUCCUGCUAUGCCAAGUUUGCAGAGGCCCUGAUCACCUUUGUCAGUGACAGUAGUGUCUUACACAGGCUGAUUAGUGGAGUUAUGACCAGCAAAGAGAUUAUAAUGGGACUUUGCUUGUUAUCACUAGUGUUGUCCAUGAUUUUGAUGGUUAUAAUAAGGUACAUUUCAAGAGUCCUUGUCUGGAUUUUAACAAUUCUUGUCAUUCUGGGAUCACUUGGUGGUACAGGAGUCCUGUGGUGGCUCUAUGCUAAACAACGAAUAUCUGCUGGUGCUCUUGAGACCCAGAUAGCCAAAGACAAUCUUCAGGCUCUCUUGAUCUAUGCCAUUGCAGCUACAGUCUUCACGGUUAUCUUGUUCUUGAUCAUGUUAGUUAUGCGCAAAAGAGUAGCUCUCACCAUUGCCUUGUUCCAUGUGGCUGGCAAGGUCUUCAUACACCUGCCGCUGUUAGUCUUCCAGCCAUUUUGGACUUUCUUUGUGCUUAUCCUCUUCUGGACAUACUGGAUCACAGUCCUGCUUUUUCUUGGUACUACAGGUAGUCCUGUCCCAAAUGAAGAAGGAUUUGUUGAAUUUCGGAUGGCAGGUCCUUUGAAAUACAUGUGGUGGUACCAUGUAGUGGGACUCAUCUGGAUCAGCGAGUUCAUCCUAGCCUGUCAGCAGAUGACAGUAGCAGGAGCUGUUGUGACAUACUAUUUUACAAGGGAAAAAAGAAAUCUGCCAUUUACUCCCAUUCUGGCAUCUGUUAAUCGCCUUGUUUGUUACCACCUAGGAACUGUAGCAAAGGGGUCUUUUAUUAUCACACUAGUGAAGAUACCCCGAAUGAUUCUUAUGUAUAUUCACACACAACUCAAAGGAAAGGAAAAUGCUUGUGCUCGCUGUAUGCUUAAAGCCUGCAUUUGCUGCCUUUGGUGUCUAGAAAAGUGCCUGACAUAUUUAAACCAGAAUGCAUAUACAGCCACAGCUAUCAACAGCACCAAUUUCUGCACCUCAGCAAAGGAUGCCUUUGUUAUCCUAGUGGAAAAUGCUUUGCGAGUGGCUGCCAUAAACACAGUUGGGGAUUUUAUGCUGUUUCUAGGAAAGGUCCUGAUUGUCUGCAGCACAGGUUUGGCUGGCAUUAUGUUGCUGAAUUACCAACGAGAUUACACCAUCUGGGUGCUGCCACUCAUCAUUGUCUGCCUCUUUGCAUUCCUGGUUGCUCACUGCUUCCUUUCCAUUUAUGAAAUGGUUGUUGAUGUCCUUUUCUUAUGUUUUGCCAUCGAUACAAAAUACAAUGAUGGGAGCCCUGGCAGGGAAUUCUACAUGGAUAAAGUUCUCAUGGAGUUUGUGGAGAAUAGUAGGAAAUCUAUGAAAGAAGCUGGCCGGGGAGGUGGAGCUGAGGGCAGAGAGCUAAAACCAAUGGCCUCUGGAGCAAGUUCAUCUUGAAACUAGCCAGCCAUAUUGGAACCCAUUGACAUUCCAAAACAGUAUAUAUAUACAUAUAUACAUACAUACAUAUAUAUAUAUAUAUAUUUAAAUAAACAGCCAAAAUCAGAGAAAAGGAACAGGGAUUUAAAACUUUUUUUAACAAUUAUUUUUGUGAAACAUGUGCUCUUUUCAUACGGGUGGCUUUUACAAGCAGUUUUAUCAUGUUCCAUUUCUUAAAUUAUUUGUUGUGGUCAUGGAAAUGUUGAUUCUUAUCUGCUUGGUAUUUUAAAAUCUGGAGGAAGUAUCAUUGUAAAGAUAAUCUGAAAUCAUGACUGGGUUUAGAGACAGAUUUCCCAUGACACUGCUAAUCUGCUGAGAGUUUUACUUGUUUAAUUUCUUUUAAACUUGUAUUAAAUUCAGGACAGUGACAUACAUGUACAGAAAACCUUAAAAAUCAAGAAAAGUCUCAAAUUUAUUUUUUCAAGAGGUGGUUUUAGCAAAAAUUCAUUCAGUUCAAAUGUGUUUGUAAGCAGUUACUUUACUUUACAGCCCUGGCAGGGCACAGUUUUGUUUACCAGUAUCAGAUAUCACAAUAACCAACUCCUCAGGUAUUUAGGUGUUUGGGAGCCCUUGCAUCUCCUGUUAAACAGAACCUACAAAAUGGGGACAGAUAAUUUUUAUAUGCAAUUAACUUCCUGCCUACCCUACUUUUACCCCUCAUACCCAUUGCCCUCUAUCCUUCCCUUGAGUUCAGUAGCCUCCUUCACACUUCAGCAGUGUUCCUUUGAAGGGUAUGGAUUCUCCAUACAGGCAAGUGAAAUAACAGAUUGUUAAAGCUCAGUCUUAGCCAUACUCAUGAUUAAUUCAUGACUAGAUUCAGAGAUGCUGAGGAUGGGAAGAGAAAUGAAUUGUACUGCUGUACAUAAAAAAGUACUGUAUGCUUCAUUUCAUCUAAUGAGAGAGCUCUGGGAGGUAUAAGAGAUCAUUCCUUGCCUGUUGUUUGAUUCAUAUCUGUACAUACUGUAGUGGGUGGCUAAAGCCAGAAAGGGCAGAGAAACAUUCCUUUGGAAGUGUAGCUGCCAGAAUAGUUAUCUGAAGUUAUUAAAUAAUGACAAGAGAACAUGCUUUUUUAUUAUUAUUAGAUACAUAAAUAUCUUUGCAGUCUGGAAGCUCACCAGAUAUGAAUGCUAAUAUUCAAUUAUUCAGCACAGUGAAAUGGUAAAUGCUUAACUGUAUUUGCUAAGAAUUAAUGAUCUGUCUAUGCUAUAUAUUCCUUUUGUUAACAUUUUUUUAAGAAAACUAUUUUUGUUAUUGUAAAGUUAAUAUUUCAGAGCAGAAUUUUUAAACUUAUUGCACUAAAUACAAGCUGUCUACAAAUAAUGAUGCCUCAAUGGUUCAAUCACUCCACUUCAGAAAAUCUCUUGAAAGAGUAAGAGCCUUUCUACAGAAGCUUUAUGAUGGAGUACAGAGGUAUGUCUAGGUAAAGACAUGCACAACGCAUGUAAUCAAGGUUUAGUAAGCAGUUUAACUGUGCUUCCUUUCAGACUAUCAGAUUUUUUAAUUGCUGCUGAAGGUUUAAAAAAUUAUGUAGUAUCAUUUAGCUAACUAGUGCUCUUAUCUUUUUGGCAAUAGUAAAACGUUUCACUUUUGCUUCCAGAAGUCAUUUGAUAAUUUAAAUUUGUUACUUUUUUUUUUUUUUCUGUAAGCCAGUUAAAACAAAUUCGUAUUACAGAUCCCAAACUAUCUGAAAGGUGGAAAAAUCAAGAUUCAUUUAGAAAGGAUAGCUUUUAGGGAUGCAAAGAGAAUUGAAUUAUCCAGUCCUGGAAGCACUUACUCAUUUAAGUGAACCAUAUCUGUAACUCUGCUAGCACUAGGAGGACUGUCUAAAUAUGGAAAUUGUAACAUACACAUCUGUGUAAGUGCUGACUGGACUUGAGACUCAGCCUGGGGAUUCAAACUGGAACAUAGGUGAACCGGAACAUCUCAGUGCAAGUUAGAGGUCAGACUUGCCCAGAAGAAACACUGGAGCAGCCUUACUUUUGUGAAGAGACAUUCCUGCAGUACCAGUGUCUAAGAUAGCAGUGGUACUCAACACUGGUAUUUGUGUAGAUCAGAGGGGUUUAGCAACACAAAUUUUAAAACUGGCUUAGAUGAAUCCUAGAAACUUCAAGGCUAAAAGACUUCUCAAGUACCCAGCUGCUUCCAGAGAAUCUAGUUUUCAUCUUGUUUGGAGGUUAUUGGAAAUGCUUAAUCAAAGAAGCCUUGUAUUCUGCUCAUUUUGAUAAAAAAUUUCUGCCAUGACUGGUUCCACAAGUUUGUGUUCUUCGCUCACUGGAAGUCCUGAGUGGGAACUGUUCUCUGUAAUUGCAACUAGGACUGCAGUUGGUAACAAAUUUUGUAUUUUUGUAUGACUUGACUGUGCACCAUUUUUAUAGCAGUUUAUCCUGUCUUAAAAAUAAAUUUGUUUAUUUACAUGGUGUUUAAAAGAUACAGGCAACACUUUUCUAUGGGUAGUUGUAAUGUUUAAGCGACAAAUCUAUAUCAUUACAAAGUUCUUAAUAAAAACAUGUGCAUCAUUCUUGAGUGUAUAUCCAGCAUGCAGAGCUUUUCAGUCCUGCCAAAAAAGGCAUUCUAUCCACACACAGGUUUUCCAGUGGCCCUUUAAAGCUUUGAAAUGACCUUUGAAGUUCAUUUGCAACCAAGCUACCCUCUUCCAGCUCUGUCUUGUGCACAGAGAUAAGCAGAAGCCAGAAUUCUGAAAAGACAACUUUUCAGGACAAAUUUAGACUGCUUUCCUUUCUUAGUGGGGAUAGUGGAGUGGGAGAACAUUUUGGCAUGUAAAUCCCAUACAUAAUUUUUGGCAGUAGGGGUGCUGGGGUCUGCCAGCUGUGAUGGAUUAAAUACUUUUUUUGACUGUUGGUUAUUAAAGCCAGUGUAUGGUCUGCUUUGUGGGAAGCAGUCUAGACUAAGUAGAGAGAGAUGCUGCACUGAGAAUAACAAUGCAGGAGGAGCAGACAAGACAGCUAAAACAGAGAAAUCAUCUCCUCAGAAUGUCCACUGAAUUGAGUAGUGCUCAAAGACUGGAGAUUUAGGCUGAUUUAGAAACAAUCAUUGGGAUUACUGCAUCCCAGCAUUUGUUUUCUGCAUCAUAGCCUCUGACCAGCUAGGUUUGAAACAGAAAAAAGCAUAGCAUUCCUACCAUUCCUUAAAUUGUUAAAUAUUUUUCCACAUUACUUUUUCUGUUUGGAAGUUGAAGAGCACCAUGUCAUCUUUCCUGCUUCUUCCAGCCCUGGAGAAUGAUUGUUUUUGUUGUUCUUUUGGGUCUCAUUUCAUACUACUCUCUGAGUAAAGGAGUGGCAAGUGGCAGUGUCUGCUCCCCUUUGUCCCUUAUCUCACCAUGUUCCCUUUUACCUUCCAGAGGCAAUGAUUCAGGAUAUCACCAGGACUGAAUGAGAGGGAGAGUAGGCACUAAGCUAAAGUUCUGAGAAACUACCCUAAGGAAAAUCUUCUGAACAGAUUUUAAAGGCUUGACAGUACUUGCAUUGUCAUAGUCCAUCAAAGCUUCAUCUGGAAAUGAAUUUUUCAUCCAUCCUACUCAUACUUCUAACAGGGCAAUCAAACCCUUGGACUGGCUUAGUGAUUGACAUUGAAUCAAGAUCAACUAACAAGUGCUCCUUUUUCCAGUGGAAUGCCACCUCCUUUGAGAAUGGGAAAAGUAAAUGUGACACUGUUUAUUGUUGUCUUGAAAACUUAAACUAUUUUAUACUGCAAGCUGUGAAUGCAGGAAGAGAAAAUAAAUUAACAGUGCUGAUCUAAUCUUAGAUUUUCUGUGUAAACUGACAUUGUGCCAGGAUACUGAUGCAAAACUGUAUUUUAGUCUAAGAAAUGUAUAGAUUUUUUAAUGUAUCAAAAUAAAGUUUUCCUUUUAAGUAAGA